This 403-nucleotide unclassified non-coding RNA is filed under the name soil metagenome. RNAcentral's name for it is "partial contains 5.8S ribosomal RNA, internal transcribed spacer 2, and large subunit ribosomal RNA". The stretch from base 1 to 121 matches the Rfam family "5.8S ribosomal RNA", at positions 35 to 154 of the family's 154-position model. The record is from RNAcentral.
GAUGAAGAACGCAGCGAAAUGCGAUAAGUAAUGUGAAUUGCAGAAUUCAGUGAAUCAUCGAAUCUUUGAACGCACCUUGCGCCCUUUGGCUAUUCCGAAGGGCAUGCCUGUUUGAGUAUCAUGAACACCUCAACUCUUCACGGCUUGCCGUGAUGAGUUUGGACUUUGGGGGUCUUGCUGGCCUACGAGCCAGCUCCUCUCCAAUGUAUUAGCUUGCCGGUGUUUGGUGGCAUCACAGGUGUGAUAACUAUCUACGCUUGUGGUUUUCCACUAGGUAACCUUCAGCAAUGGAGGUUCACCGGAGCUCACAAAUGUCUCUCCUUGCCAAGGACAGAUUUUGACCAUUUGAUCUCAAAUCAGGUAGGACUACCCGCUGAACUUAAGCAUAUCAAUAAGCGGAGGA